This 464-nucleotide long non-coding RNA is filed under the name Setaria italica (foxtail millet). Its description in RNAcentral is "long non-coding RNA (SITA_LNC003623)". The record is from RNAcentral. Lineage: Eukaryota; Viridiplantae; Streptophyta; Magnoliopsida; Poales; Poaceae.
UUGGGGACCUGGUGGUGGUGGCGCGGCGCGACGACGUCAUACGUGAGAGCUCGAGAGAUAUUUUGGGGUCCCAGGCCGCGCGCGCGGGGGUGAUCGACGACGUCGGCCGGCGUUGGUGGUGUUGGCUCGGGCGUUUGGGGGUCAGGACGACGGAGGCCUUGGUUGGUUUGUUUGUUUUGGACCGCACCACGGCACGGGACGGGAGCGGAAAAAGGACGAUGAGCCGCGCGGCCGCGGAAAGCGGCGCGACAAAAAAGAGUUCACUGGGCCAGACCCUACAGUGAUUGCUACUCACUCAUCCAUCGUCGUGCGUAUCAAUUGUCGAGUGUGAAGUUUCCUCUCGGCGCCUUUAUGGGCUUUGGUUAUGCCAAAUUUUUUUGCCCGGUUUACACUUUACUACAACAGAUGCCAGUCGUUUUCCGUCUGUUUUUUCUUCUUCUUCCUUUUAGACCAAUCAGUCUUUC